Molecule: long non-coding RNA, 708 nt
Organism: Petromyzon marinus (sea lamprey)
Lineage: Eukaryota; Metazoa; Chordata; Hyperoartia; Petromyzontiformes; Petromyzontidae
Source: RefSeq, a predicted model, not a curated record
ACGGACUGCGGCUUUCACAGUGAAACCCAGAGAGCGUCCGAAGCACACUCGCACGCGCGCGCGCGCGCUCUCUCACACACUCACGCGUGCAAAGCAAAGUGACGGAGCCGAACACUUGGCCGCUGUUGGGCUGAGCCUCCAGGCACAGCCGCAUCGCCCCUCCACGAAGAAGAAGAAGAAGUUCCACGUUCGAAGAUGCCGCUGCCUCCGCUGCUGCUGAUGAAGACCCCCACAACUGUGACCCCCACGCAAGCGGCGGCCGCGACGGCUGCGGCGAUGCGGAUACCAAACCCGGGACGCGAACCGGGCAGACAGCAGCUCGCCGGCGGCUCGACUCCGCAGUGGCCUUGAAGAAGCGACCACCCCGCGGCCAACCCUUCACGCGCUGCCAAACCCGAGGGUAGGUUUUCAGACGGGACACAACCGCGCCCCACCACCACCACACUCUAUCAGCUUCCCAACAAACUCUGACCCCCAUGCCCGCACCCUCCACCCCCACCAGCCCCUCUCACCCCUGCCCCAGACCUCAGAGUCCUCUCGGCGCAGCGAUGCUCCAGGCGACGAGAGAGGAAUGGGUGAGUAUAUAGGGUGAGGUAAGUGGGUGGUGAGUGAAUGGGUGAGUGAAGGUGGCUCAGUGAGUGAGUAAAGAGUGUGAGUGAAUAUGUGAAUGGGUGAGUGAGUGGAUAAGUGAGUGAAGGGAGAGUGAGU